Molecule: ribosomal RNA, 415 nt
Filed under: uncultured crenarchaeote
Lineage: Archaea; Thermoproteati; Thermoproteota
Description: bacterial SSU rRNA
Rfam family: Archaeal small subunit ribosomal RNA
Source: RNAcentral
GUGCAGCAGUCGCGAAACCUCCACAAUGGGCGAAAGCCUGAUGGGGUUAUUCCGAGUGCCAUCCGCUAAGGAUGGCUUUUCCCAAGUCUAAACCGCUUGGGGAAUAAGGGGAGGGCAAGUCUGGUGUCAGCCGCCGCGGUAAUACCAGCUCCCCGAGUGGUCGGGACGGUUAUUUGGCCUAAAGCAUCCGUAGCCGGCCCUGUCCGUCUUCCGUUAAAUCUAACGGCCCAACCGUUAGGCUGCGGAAGAUACCACAGGGCUAGGGGGCGGGAGAGGUGGACGGUACUCCAAGGGUAGGGGUAAAAUCCUCUGAUCCUUGGAAGACCACCGGUGGCGAAGGCGGUCCACCAGAACGCGCCCGACGGUGAGGGAUGAAAGCUGGGGGAGCGAACCGGAUUAGAUACCCGAGUAGUCC